AUGGGUGACAGGAGGACCCCUGCUUUGGAAGGGCUAUAGGGGAAACUGCAGAGCUUGAAACUCUCAGAUGCAAAAAAGAGGAGCACAAAGAUUGGAAGGAAACAUGGCUGCUCGCUGGCGGUAGGAAAGCUACAGGCUGUGGGUAAGCUCUUCUCCGAAAGACCAGCUAAAGCAGAAUAUUUGGGAAAAACUUUAGGCAGCAUUUGGAGUCCCUUCACGGGUGUAGAAUGUAAGGACUUGAAUAGAAAUCGAUUCCUCUUCUCGUUCCAUGAUGUAGAAAGUAAGAGGAAGGCUCUGCAUAAUGGACCGUGGUCGUUUACUAAGGAGUUAUUAGUCAUGGAAGAUUUCAUGCCAAACAAAACGAUUGAUGACUAUGAGUUUAGGACUAUCCCCAUAUGGGUUAGAGCAUAUGGUAUUCCUAUGGGAAUGAUGAACUCAGAGGCAGGGGAGCUGGUGGGAGAAUAG
RNAcentral lists this ribosomal RNA (465 nucleotides) under Triticum aestivum (bread wheat). Its description in RNAcentral is "partial small subunit ribosomal RNA". Lineage: Eukaryota; Viridiplantae; Streptophyta; Magnoliopsida; Poales; Poaceae. The record is from RNAcentral.